AUGCACGCUGGCGGCGUGCCUCAUACAUGCAAGUCGAGCGAACAGACGAGGAGCUUGCUCCUCUGACGUUAGCGGCGGACGGGUGAGUAACACGUGGAUAACCUACCUAUAAGACUGGGAUAACUUCGGGAAACCGGAGCUAAUACCGGAUAAUAUAUUGAACCGCAUGGUUCAAUAGUGAAAGACGGUUUUGCUGUCACUUAUAGAUGGAUCCGCGCCGCAUUAGCUAGUUGGUAAGGUAACGGCUUACCAAGGCAACGAUGCGUAGCCGACCUGAGAGGGUGAUCGGCCACACUGGAACUGAGACACGGUCCAGACUCCUACGGGAGGCAGCAGUAGGGAAUCUUCCGCAAUGGCGAAAGCCUGACGGAGCAACGCCGCGUGAGUGAUGAAGGUCUUCGGAUCGUAAAACUCUGUUAUUAGGGAAGAACAAAUGUGUAAGUAACUAUGCACGUCUUGACGGUACCUAAUCAGAAAGCCACGGCUAACUACGUG
RNAcentral lists this ribosomal RNA (495 nucleotides) under uncultured bacterium. RNAcentral's name for it is "partial 16S ribosomal RNA". It matches the Rfam family "Bacterial small subunit ribosomal RNA", at positions 29 to 507 of the family's 1533-position model. The record is from RNAcentral.